This 72-nucleotide transfer RNA is filed under the name Babesia caballi. RNAcentral describes it as "tRNA-Gly". It matches the Rfam family "tRNA". Rfam says of the family: Transfer RNA (tRNA) molecules are approximately 80 nucleotides in length. Their secondary structure includes four short double-helical elements and three loops (D, anti-codon, and T loops). Lineage: Eukaryota; Apicomplexa; Aconoidasida; Piroplasmida; Babesiidae. The record is from RNAcentral.
AGCGCUAGUGGUCUAGGGGUAAGAUCCAACCCUCCCAAGGUUGGGGCCCGGGUUCGAGUCCCGGCUAGCGCA